GGUGCUGCACGUGCAGGCCCGCCCACACUGCUUCUCAUUGGUUAGUGGCGUGAAGUCAUGACGUCGAUUAUAGCAAGUUUUCAUUUCCGAUGGUUAUCGCUGCAUGAGGUGAUGAAAUCCCCCGGCCUGUGGAUUAUUUGACCAAGAUGCCACCUGACCUUACAUCCUCUGGCAGAUCCUGAUGGGAGUCGUUACAAAGAGGACAAUAUGGCUUUAUGGUGACUUUCACUGACAUGCAAGGUUUUCAGAGACAUUUUCAGCAAGCCCAAGUUCAGAGAAAAGGUCCCCUUUGUAUGUCCAAACAGUGUUGUGAACUGGAGUGCAUUUUCCAGACAAUAUGGGCAAGAGCUCCGGGUGCCUUACUCGUUGACUUUGAAAUAUACAAGGACUGCCCACCUGGAUAUGUAGGUGAUGGCAGAAGGGGAGUCCUGAAUGGGUUUUAUUCCGACAAGGAGGUUCAGUGCUAUUGCUCAUUUGAUUGUUUUUUCAAUGAUGGAGGGGAACUUCAGGCUGUGUAGAUUGUGUGUGUACGGUUAAUGUACGUGAUUAUCUGUAUGUGUGUAUUAUGUCUUUUAAACAAUUAUUUUUGUUUUGAAAUAAAAGUUAUCACUGGUAUGGGUUUGGUGUUUUUGAGUGGCAUGCAUACUAUGGGAUACAGAGAUUGACAAUGUACUGUAUGUAGUUUAACUUCAUACUACUUUAUAGGCAUAAAUGUUUAGUAAUA
Molecule: non-coding RNA, 724 nt
Organism: Paramisgurnus dabryanus
Lineage: Eukaryota; Metazoa; Chordata; Actinopteri; Cypriniformes; Cobitidae
Source: RefSeq, a predicted model, not a curated record